UUUAAGGUUAACAGCCAGGGGUGGUCGGUUGUUAAAUGAUACCAACCUGGGACCACACAGAUGGGGGUUAGGUAAGCGAAAGUAGGGGGUACGCGGUAACCCCCAAGCGUACCGGCGAAAAAUUUCGAGACCCAAGGAAAACUGAUACAGACUCCUACACUGAAUAGGCUUGCUGGCUGCACAAAGCAGCCACCUACUGGAUUAAUGGCUGUCAGGCUACCACUUUAGAAGAGUUGCUGCAGUUGAUGUUACUGCAGCAGUUCUUCAACCUACUACAACCUGAUCUCGAAGACUGGGUGAGAGGCCAUGGACCCCUUACCCUCCCCGAUGCAGCAAGAAUGCGGAUGAGUAUACGGAUGCUCGCAAGCUUGAGCGGUCUCACCCCAGAGUGCAACCUCCCCGAAUCGAUCCCCCAGCACCAAGUGGGGAGCUAUCACCCCUCUCUACAACCCAUUCCAGUGGAGUAUAGACCCCCACAGGUGACCGGUCUCCGCUGCUACAGAUGCAAGCAAGUGGGGCACUACCGCAGGGACUGUCCCCUGGACACCCCCAGAUCCAACUAAACACAGCCAGGAAUCUCCAACACACGGGCAGCUGCACACUGUGUGGACUACCCCGUACCUACCACCUGGGAAGCCAGAGAGCCGAGUCGGCAAGAACCACUGGGGUUCCUCCAUGAGGCCGGCCAGCA
This is a non-coding RNA of Pelobates cultripes (western spadefoot toad), 691 nucleotides long. The record is from the annotation of a GenBank genome assembly. Lineage: Eukaryota; Metazoa; Chordata; Amphibia; Anura; Pelobatidae.